UACGUAGGGUGCAAGCGUUGUCCGGAAUCAUUGGGCGUAAAGCGCGUGUAGGCGGCCCGGUAAGUCCGCUGUGAAAGUCGGGGGCUCAACCCUCGAAUGCCGGUGGAUACUGUCGGGCUCGAGUCCGGAAGAGGAGUGUGGAAUUCCUGGUGUAGCGGUGAAAUGCGCAGAGAUCGUAAGGAAGACCAGUGGCGAAGGCGGGUCUCUGGACAGUUCCUGACACUGAGGCACGAAGGCCAGGGGAGCAAACGGG
This 253-nucleotide ribosomal RNA is filed under the name uncultured bacterium. RNAcentral describes it as "partial 16S ribosomal RNA". It matches the Rfam family "Bacterial small subunit ribosomal RNA", at positions 524 to 776 of the family's 1533-position model. The record is from RNAcentral.